RNAcentral lists this transfer RNA (73 nucleotides) under Bubo bubo (Eurasian eagle-owl). RNAcentral describes it as "tRNA-Glu". It matches the Rfam family "tRNA". From Rfam's summary of the family: Transfer RNA (tRNA) molecules are approximately 80 nucleotides in length. Their secondary structure includes four short double-helical elements and three loops (D, anti-codon, and T loops). The record is from RNAcentral. Lineage: Eukaryota; Metazoa; Chordata; Aves; Strigiformes; Strigidae.
GUUUCUAUAGUUAAGAGUUUAUUAACGCCAGCUUUUCAGGCUGGAAACCUUGGUUAGAGGCCAAGUAGGAACU